GCCAUAUUAUGUUGAAACACCGGUUCUAGUACGAACACUGAAGUUAAACAACGUCGAUCCUGGUCAAUACCUAGAUGGGUGACCACUUGAGAAUACCAGAUACUGUAAG
Molecule: non-coding RNA, 109 nt
Organism: Acanthosepion pharaonis
Lineage: Eukaryota; Metazoa; Mollusca; Cephalopoda; Sepiida; Sepiidae
Source: the annotation of a GenBank genome assembly